RNAcentral lists this ribosomal RNA (253 nucleotides) under uncultured bacterium. RNAcentral's name for it is "partial 16S ribosomal RNA". It matches the Rfam family "Bacterial small subunit ribosomal RNA", at positions 524 to 776 of the family's 1533-position model. The record is from RNAcentral.
UACGGGGGGAGCAAGCGUUGUUCGGAUUUACUGGGCGUAAAGGGCGCGUAGGCUGUGCUGUAAGUCAGGCGUGAAAGGCCCGGGCUCAACCUGGGAAUGGCGCUUGAUACUGCGGCGCUGGAAGGUGGGAGAGGAUGGCGGAAUUCCCAGUGUAGAGGUGAAAUUCGUAGAUAUUGGGAAGAACACCGGUGGCGAAGGCGGCCAUCUGGCCCACAUUUGACGCUGAGGCGCGAAAGCGUGGGGAGCAAACAGG